UACGUAGGUGGCAAGCGUUGUCCGGAUUUACUGGGCGUAAAGAGCGCGCAGGCGGUCGUUCAAGUCGCGUGUGAGAGCCCCCGGCUCAACUGGGGAGGGUCACGCGAUACUGAUCGACUCGAAGGCAGGAGAGGGAAGUGGAAUUCCCGGUGUAGUGGUGAAAUGCGUAGAUAUCGGGAGGAACACCAGUGGCGAAGGCGACUUCCUGGCCUGUUCUUGACGCUGAGGCGCGAAAGCUAGGGGAGCAAACGGG
Molecule: ribosomal RNA, 253 nt
Filed under: uncultured bacterium
Lineage: Bacteria
Description: partial 16S ribosomal RNA
Rfam family: Bacterial small subunit ribosomal RNA
Source: RNAcentral